GCGAGAAAACUUUGCAAUGUGCGAAAGCACGACAAGGUUAAUCCGAGUGGUUUCUGCUAAAGGAACCUUUUGUCAGUCCUAGAAACACUGAUGAAUAAGGGGUGGGCAAGUUCUGGUGUCAGCCGCCGCGGUAAAACCAGCACCUCAAGUGGUCAGGAUGAUUAUUGGGCCUAAAGCAUCCGUAGCCGGCUCUGUAAGUUUUCGGUUAAAUCUGUACGCUCAACGUACAGGCUGCCGGGAAUACUGCAAAGCUAGGGAGUGGGAGAGGUAGACGGUACUCGGUAGGAAGGGGUAAAAUCCCUUGAUCUAUUGAUGACCACCUGUGGCGAAGGCGGUCUACCAGAACACGUCCGACGGUGAGGGAUGAAAGCUGGGGGAGCAAACCGGAUUAGAUACCCGGGUAGUCCCAGCUGUAAACCAUGCAAACUCAGUGAUGCAUUGGCUUGUGGCCAAUGCAGUGCUGCAGGGAAGCCGUUAAGUUUGCCGCCUGGGAAGUACGUACGCAAGUAUGAAACUUAA
RNAcentral lists this ribosomal RNA (519 nucleotides) under uncultured archaeon. RNAcentral's name for it is "bacterial SSU rRNA". It matches the Rfam family "Archaeal small subunit ribosomal RNA", at positions 339 to 859 of the family's 1478-position model. The record is from RNAcentral.